This is a long non-coding RNA of Neltuma alba, 634 nucleotides long. RefSeq lists it as uncharacterized. The record is from RefSeq and is a predicted model, not a curated record. Lineage: Eukaryota; Viridiplantae; Streptophyta; Magnoliopsida; Fabales; Fabaceae. The transcript has 2 exons.
UUCUGAGCUUGACCGGCAACACACAAUGAAGAACUCGUUGAAGGAGAUAACAUUGAGGUUCAUCUUGACCACAAGCACAUGGGUUUGGGUGGAGAUGAUAGCUGGUCCCCAUGUGUACACGAGCAAUACUUUGUUCCUGCCAUACCAUACUCCUUUUCUGUUAGGUUGUGUCCGGUAACUUCUGCCACCUCCGAUCACGAGAUUUACAAAUCCCAGCAAAACUUUUGAGGUAUUCUGAUGAGGGAGUAGUUUCUUACUGGGGAUCAUAGCUGGAGAACUCUCAAAACAAGAACAUAAUCUCAUUCUUAUGCAUCCAUUCAAGCUGGUGCCUCAAUGCCAUAUGGAAAAAGACCGAUCUUAAUGGCUUCCUUUACUGUCAUGUUAUGGCUUGUGAAUAUUGUACACCUUGGUUAAUAAUAAGUGUGCUCUAGUUGUGAUAUAGGUCAUGUUUCGUUUUUUGCAUUCCUGUACUCGUGAUAAUAAUGAUCCUGGCAGACUCAAGUGGGUCUUCUUGAAUGUGGUUCCAUUCCAAACUUCUUGAAUGUGGUUCCAUUCCACCCCAAAAUGGUCCUCUCAAACAAUAUUCAAGAAUAAAUUGUUUAGCAUAACAAUUGGAAAUGGACGUUACUACUCU